Molecule: long non-coding RNA, 463 nt
Filed under: Podarcis lilfordi (Lilford's wall lizard)
Lineage: Eukaryota; Metazoa; Chordata; Lepidosauria; Squamata; Lacertidae
Source: RNAcentral
CGGGGUUCAGGAGCAGAGGCACAGGAAAGGGAGGAAAUAGAGAGCGAGGGAGAGGAGUCCGAAGGAAAUGUUAGCGAUGACAGCGGUCCGAGGUCUCUGAGUCUUUCCAGCGAAUCGGAAGAUUCACAGAAAGGGGCUCCCUUGGUCAGAGCAAGGGGGGUGCCGAGGGAGACACCCCAGGAAGAAGGGGCCAGAGGGGACUCAGAGAGCAGCAGUUGGAAAUCAGGACCAGCGUCCACACCAGAGUGCAGUAGGGGGGAGGGGUCCCAGGCAUCGGGAUCAGGCGGCGCACUGCCAGUGGGAGGACAUGAGUCAGGAUUGGCCACGCCUCCAUCGGGGAGCGAGGAAACGGUCGAGAGGAAGGUUGAAGGCUGGGCGCGCGCCAAGUUCAAAUGUACAGGAGGGCGGCGCAGUUGGCAGCCCGGAUAGGGAGCCAGGUCCCAAAGCCCGCCGAAAAGAGGGG